UAUAAAGUUAAAACUAUAUAGAGUUAGCUUUAAUAAAAACUAACUUCAGAUCUUAUUUAAAAAAUCAAACCCUUAAAAUCAACUUCAAAUUGGCCGGAGCUUACCAAAUCCGACGGCGUUUUCUCCUCCGAUCACAAUGACGCCACCAACGCCGGCGGCGGCGAUUCAUUCUCCGUCAUCUCCCCAAUACACUCAACAAUUCUUAAGCAACGUUCUCUCCCAACGAGGUCCUUCUUCUCUCCCUUACUCCGAAGACGUAAAAUGGCUAAUCCGUCAACACCUCGUUUCGUUGAUCGACACGUGUCCUUCUCUUCAACCUAGAACCGCUACUUUCACUUACAACGACGGCAGAACUGUGAAUCUCCUUCAGGCGAACGGCACAGUUCCGAUGGUCUAUCUAGAUGCAACCUACAACAUUCCGGUCAUUAUUUGGUUACUGGAAUCUUACCCUCGUCAAUCGCCGUUGGUAUUCGUGAACCCAACGCGUAAUAUGGUCAUCAAAGACUCACAUCCUUUUGUGAACUCUUCUGGUAUUGUUUCAAUCCCUUAUUUAACAAAUUGGGUAUAUCCAAGUUCGAAUCUUGUUGAAUUAGCUCGUAAUUUGAGUCAUUUUUUUAGCCGUGAUCCCCCUUUGUACACCAAACGGAACCCGAAUCCGAGCCCAAACCCGCAUCCUCCUCCGGGUACUAGUUUUUCGAAUAGUGGGUCGACUCGUCCAGCGAUACCACCUCGGUUGUAUCCACCAUCACCUUAUGGGAGUGGGAGUGGUGGGGUAGUGGGGAGGAAAAUGGAUGAUCCGUCGGAGGUGGAUAAGAAAAAUGCAAUAGAUGAGCUUAUGCUGAAAUUGCAUAGUGAUAUUGAAGGGUUGGGGAAGGCGAGGGAGUCGGAUAUGGAAGGGUUGUUUAAUGCACAAGGAGUGUUGAGGCGUCGUGAGGAGGAGUUGAGGAAAGGUGUUAAGGAAAUGCUGGAUGAAAAGGAGGGGUUAGAGCAGCAAUUACAGAUGGUUUUGAUGAAUGCUGAUGUGUUGGAAGGGUGGGUUAGAGAUAACGAAACGAAAGUUAAGAAAAUAGGGAAUGUGGAUGUGGACGAAGCGUUUGAGCUUUGUGAUAGACUUUCGAAACAGAUGUUGGAUUGUACAGCUUCGGAUUUGGCUAUGGAGGAUGUGAUUUAUUCGUUGGAUAAAGCUAUACAAGAUGGGGCAAUUCCUUUUGAUCAGUACUUGAGGAAUGUAAGGUUGUUGUCGCGUGAACAAUUCAUUCAUCGUGCCACGGCUUCAAAGGUUAAGGCUGUUCAGAUGCAGGCUCAAGUUUCUCAUAUGGCUUCUAGGCUGUCUCAAUAUACUUUGUCAUAGAUGUUGAAUUACUUGGAUUAUGUGUGCACUAUGGACGGAAGAGGUUAGUUUUUUUCAAGGGGUGGGUGCGUUACUCCUAGUGUUGUCAAAGGUGCGCUUAAGCCCUAAAUCGAGGUGCAAAACAUAUUGAGUGUUUCGUCUCGCUUAGUGUGCACUUUAAUGUUGUCAUCAAGGCUCUAAGACGUAAAUUUCCUGGCUUAUGAGCCUUGUAUCUUUUUUUUUUUAUGAAGAUAGAUUUUGUAUAGCUGGCAUGAAGAAGAUGCAAAGUUACAAAAGAUACGUUAGCUCUUACAACAACAGACCUUAAAGCAUAGGGAGCUAAUAAAAAACAAAAGAGGGCUCAGAUAAAUGGAGGACUGAAAACUAACAGCAAAUUGACUUACUAACAAAUACAAGACUUGACCAUAUUAAGAGACUGAUGGCUGGUAAAUUUCCUCCAAACACAACUCCAAUAGCACCUCCAUGAUAAUUAUUAAUUAAGAAGUCUCCUCCUCUUCUGGUUUAGGGAUACAUUUACCUUUUUUUUCCUUUUUAACUUUGUCCAACCACGACUAGAUUGACAUGAACUGGUCCAACGUAAGUUUGACUGACAGUAUAUUUGAGUGCCUCAAAGACAUUUGAUUUGCCUACAUCAGUAUGAUCAUGUUAGAGAUCGUCUAGUAUCUAUUCAAGAAAUAUAUUCUAUACUUGUGGAGCCAUAGGAAUAUGAUUUUCCACUUGGUGAAAAGAGUAAAACACCCACAUUUGCUCCGGUCAGAGUUGAAUAGUAUUUGCUUUCUUGAUCAAGCCUUUUUUCCUUUACGAGAAAGUAACAGUGCGUGCUUCCUUUGACUCAAUCAAUUUCAUAUCAAUCUUUUGCCUACCCUUCCCAAUCCUCUUUAUCCAUUGCAAAAAAAAUAAAAUAAUUAAAGAAGAAAAUAAGAUGUUUUGGCUGAAUAAAUCUGAGCAAGUCUAUUUGUCACACGUAUUGUUGUUUUCACAUUAUGAGUCUAUUUGCCAUGUGUAUUGUCACAUUUAUUUAGUGUUCUAAUAUUAUGUGAAUCUAUGAUGCGAUUACCAUGAAUCCCAACGAAAAUUGUCUUCUUAUUUAUUCUGCUACAAUUGCUAAGUAAUAGUGUUGGAUUGUAUCUAAAGAUAAAUGAAAAUUAAAUUGUUAAGUUUGUUGAUUGUUUUCAUAUUAUGAGUCUAUUUGUGACGUGUAUUCACGUUUAUUUAGUGUGUUUUCAUAUUAUGUGAAUCUAUUACGGGAUGGUAAUUAAACCAAAACUUUGUUGAAAUCCCGUCAAAACAUCUUCUAUUCCUUUCUAUCCAAACACACCGAAAAAUACAGCUAGGGAUCAUUUUCCAGAUGUUCUUGGUAACUUUGUUUAAUCUCCAAGAAUUCAGGCUUUCAACUCCUAGCCUUAUAGUCAAAGGUAGUGUCCAUGAGAGGUCAAAAACUGAUAUUUCCCUUUUUUCACAAAAAAAUAAUAUAAUUUUCUUUGUCCAUGUAUUGUUAUUCAUGCGUUUAAUUAUUUAUCUUGGAUUACCCAUACAUAUUUAUAUUUGCUCUUCAUUUGCGCAUUUCUUCAUUGAAGUCCACACUUCAUUCUCGCUUAAAGCUAUAGUGGAUCGUAGAUAUUUUCUUUUUGCAUUUUUUGAGUUUGAUAAGACUGAUUUUUCAUUGGUGAUAGUGUUUGAUUUGGCAUGAGGCUCAAUAUAUUUGUUGUUUAUAAUAUAUAUAUCAUGUAUGGCAAAGGAAGAAAGUAGUAAUAUCUAAUAGUUCUUUAAGCAGAAAAAAGCCUAUUGCAGUGAGUUUCGAAUUUGUCUACUCAUGUGAAUUAGAAACCUUGAAACUUUUGUUACCUUUUUUGAUAAGGUAAUUUUGAAGUCUUGAAAGUUGUGGAGGUUGUAUACAAUUAUAUUAUUAGUAGGAUGGUGUGGAAUAUUUUGGAACCGUAUUUUAACAAGGCAUAUUUGGGAUGACUUGAAAUGAAAAGAACGUCAUAUAAAUUAGGAGGAAGGAAGAGUAUGAUAACCUGCAGAGAUUUUUAUACUUAACAAAAGGUAAAGCAUCGAACACUCUUGUUAGGUCCUUCAGUUAAUAAGGAUUGUUGGAUUGGUGGUUAAUAACGUUUGACCUCAUUUAAGACCUCAAAAUUUUUUGUUGAUACUGUGGUGUCUAGGUUAUUUUUCGUGCACCUAGACUAUUUUCACAGGAUAUAGAUGCUGAUAACUUUGUCCAAAGCUUGGACAAGUUGGAAGAAAUCACCUCGUAUUUUUGCCUUUGCUGGGAUUAGUACCUUAGACCUCAUUGAUCACUAGACUGAAAACAAAUAAAUAAAUAGACUGCAAGUUGUUUCCUCUCAUUUCAAGAUAUAAACAGCCUCUUUUUCCUUUCAUAGUUCAAAACAACUAAAAAUAAAAGGAGAGAAUUAGAUGAAAAUUUGAAAUAAGUUGGAUUUCAGAAUGGGUAGUGGUUCUUUAUUUAGCCCUGUUACAGUGGGUUAGUCCUGAAUUGGUUGGGUUGGUGGUCUCCUAACACGGACUUGGGCAAUUUCUCUUUUUAAGAUAACCUUUGGAGUUGAGUGUAUCGGAGUCUAGUUCGUCCUGUUUUGGCCCCCAUAUACUCUUGGCGGUCUGGGCGUGCCGGAGUAUCAGAGUCCGACAUUGGUGUGAAAAUGAGCUGAUAGUCUCCUUAUAUGAACUUUAACAAUUCCCCCCCGCCCCCUAGUUUUUGUGGUUGAGUUGACGCUAGGACUAUAUCAUGCCUAUAAUAGUUCCUAUUUGAGGACCCAUGUUAUAUUGCUCACAUUCUAGUUGGCAGUCUGGGUGUGCGGGGGUAUUUAAGCGGGGUAGAGUUCCUCUUUGGUUUGUAAUGAUUUGUGAUUACUUAUAGUUAUAUAAACUUGGACAAUUCUAUCCUUUCAAGCUAGCUUUUGGGGUUGAGUUAUCAUAGUUCAUCCCCAAGCCACUUAAUUUUCGAUUGUAGAUAAGAUAGUUUUCGGAAAUAAACCUUGUGAUGCAUGUCCUGCAGUUUCAUCAAAGAAAAUUAACUUGGAUCCGAUU
Molecule: RNA transcript, 4399 nt
Organism: Solanum pennellii
Lineage: Eukaryota; Viridiplantae; Streptophyta; Magnoliopsida; Solanales; Solanaceae
Gene name: protein ELC-like
Exons: 2
Source: RefSeq, a predicted model, not a curated record